UACGUAGGGUGCAAGCGUUGUCCGGAAUUAUUGGGCGUAAAGAGCUCGUAGGCGGUUUGUCGCGUCUGCUGUGAAAAACCCGAGGCUCAACCUCGCGCCUGCAGUGGGUACGGGCAGACUAGAGUGCGGUAGGGGAGAUUGGAAUUCCUGGUGUAGCGGUGGAAUGCGCAGAUAUCAGGAGGAACACCGAUGGCGAAGGCAGAUCUCUGGGCCGUAACUGACGCUGAGGAGCGAAAGCGUGGGGAGCGAACAGG
Molecule: ribosomal RNA, 254 nt
Filed under: uncultured bacterium
Lineage: Bacteria
Description: partial 16S ribosomal RNA
Rfam family: Bacterial small subunit ribosomal RNA
Source: RNAcentral